Molecule: ribosomal RNA, 498 nt
Filed under: Streptococcus intermedius
Lineage: Bacteria; Bacillati; Bacillota; Bacilli; Lactobacillales; Streptococcaceae
Description: bacterial SSU rRNA
Rfam family: Bacterial small subunit ribosomal RNA
Source: RNAcentral
GACGAACGCUGGCGGCGUGCCUAAUACAUGCAAGUAGAACGCACAGGAUGCACCGUAGUUUACUACACCGUAUUCUGUGAGUUGCGAACGGGUGAGUAACGCGUAGGUAACCUGCCUGGUAGCGGGGGAUAACUAUUGGAAACGAUAGCUAAUACCGCAUAAGAACAUUUACUGCAUGGUAGAUGUUUAAAAGGUGCAAAUGCAUCACUACCAGAUGGACCUGCGUUGUAUUAGCUAGUAGGUGAGGUAACGGCUCACCUAGGCGACGAUACAUAGCCGACCUGAGAGGGUGAUCGGCCACACUGGGACUGAGACACGGCCCAGACUCCUACGGGAGGCAGCAGUAGGGAAUCUUCGGCAAUGGGGGGAACCCUGACCGAGCAACGCCGCGUGAGUGAAGAAGGUUUUCGGAUCGUAAAGCUCUGUUGUUAAGGAAGAACGAGUGUGAGAAUGGAAAAGUUCAAUACUGUGACGGUACUUAACCAGAAAGGACGGCUA